UGGGGAAUAUUGCACAAUGGGCGCAAGCCUGAUGCAGCCAUGCCGCGUGUGUGAAGAAGGCCUUCGGGUUGUAAAGCACUUUCAGCGAGGAGGAAGGGUUCAGUGUUAAUAGCACUGUUCAUUGACGUUACUCGCAGAAGAAGCACCGGCUAACUCCGUGCCAGCAGCCGCGGUAAUACGGAGGGUGCAAGCGUUAAUCGGAAUUACUGGGCGUAAAGCGCACGCAGGCGGUUUGUUAAGUCAGAUGUGAAAUCCCCGCGCUUAACGUGGGAACUGCAUUUGAAACUGGCAAGCUAGAGUCUUGUAGAGGGGGGUAGAAUUCCAGGUGUAGCGGUGAAAUGCGUAGAGAUCUGGAGGAAUACCGGUGGCGAAGGCGGCCCCCUGGACAAAGACUGACGCUCAGGUGCGAAAGCGUGGGGAGCAAACAGGAUUAGAUACCCCCGUAGUCC
This 449-nucleotide ribosomal RNA is filed under the name uncultured prokaryote. RNAcentral describes it as "bacterial SSU rRNA". It matches the Rfam family "Bacterial small subunit ribosomal RNA", at positions 355 to 796 of the family's 1533-position model. The record is from RNAcentral.